GACGAACGCUGGCGGCGUGCUUAACACAUGCAAGUCGAACGGAAAGGCCCUGCUUUUGUGGGGUUCUCGAUUGGCGAACGGGUGAGUAACACGUGAGUAACCUGCCCUUGACUUUGGUAUAACUUCAGGAAACUGGGGCUAAUACCGUAUAGGAUCUCCUGCUGCAUGGUGGGGGUUGGAAAGUUUCGGCGGUUGGGGAUGGACUCGCGGCUUAUCAGCUUGUUGGUUGGGUAGUGGCUUACCAAGGCUUUGACGGGUAGCCGGCCUGGGAGGGUGACCGGCCACAUUGGGACUGAGAUACGGAGCAGACUCCUACGGGAGGCAGCAGUGGGGAAUAUUGCACAAUGGGCGGAAGCCUGAUGCAGAAACGCCGCGUGCGGGAUGCCGGCCUUCGGGUUGUAAACCGCUUUAGCCUGUGACGCAGCGUGAGUGACGGUAAUGGGUAAAGAAGCACCGGCUAACUACGUG
This 468-nucleotide ribosomal RNA is filed under the name uncultured bacterium. RNAcentral's name for it is "partial 16S ribosomal RNA". It matches the Rfam family "Bacterial small subunit ribosomal RNA", at positions 28 to 507 of the family's 1533-position model. The record is from RNAcentral.